GGAAGGAUCAUUCAUAAUAAGUGUUUUAUGGCACUUUUUUAAAUCCAUAUCCACCUUGUGUGCAAUGUCAGGGUUGGUUUCUCUCUUUUGAGAGAUCAACCCCAAACAUCAACUCUAUCUUAACUCUUUGUCUGAAAAAUAUUAUGAAUAAAACAAUUCAAAAUACAACUUUCAACAACGGAUCUCUUGGCUCUCGCAUCGAUGAAGAACGCAGCGAAAUGCGAUACGUAAUGUGAAUUGCAGAAUUCAGUGAAUCAUCGAAUCUUUGAACGCAUAUUGCGCUCUUUGGUAUUCCGAAGAGCAUGCUUGUUUGAGUAUCAGUAAACACCUCAAAGCCUUUUUUCUUUUUUGAAGAAAGGCUUUGGACUUGAGCAAUCCCAACACCAAUCUUUUAAAGAGAGGGGGCGGGUUGCUUGAAAUGCAGGUGCAGCUGGACAUUCUCCUGAGCUAAAAGCAUAUUCAUUUAGUCCCGUCAAACGGAUUAUUACUUUUGCUGCAGCUAAUAUAAAGGGAGUUUGACCAUUUUGGCUGACUGAUGCAGGAUUUUCACAAGAGUCUUCAAAACCUCUUGUUAAACUCGAUCUCAAAUCAAGUAAGACUACCCGCUGAACUUAAGCAUAUCAAUAA
This 627-nucleotide ribosomal RNA is filed under the name fungal sp. ZB2. RNAcentral describes it as "eukaryotic LSU rRNA". The stretch from base 167 to 320 matches the Rfam family "5.8S ribosomal RNA". Lineage: Eukaryota; Fungi. The record is from RNAcentral.